CCUACGGGAGACAGCAGUGAGGAAUAUUGGUCAAUGGGCUAAGGCCUGAACCAGCCAAGUCGCGUGAGGGAAGACGGUCCUAUGGAUUGUAAACCUCUUUUGUCGGGGAGCAACGAGGCCACGUGUGGCCGAAGUGAGAGUACCCGAAGAAAAAGCAUCGGCUAACUCCGUGCCAGCAGCCGCGGUAAUACGGAGGAUGCGAGCGUUAUCCGGAUUUAUUGGGUUUAAAGGGUGCGUAGGCGGAACAUUAAGUCAGCGGUAAAAUCGAGGGGCUCAACCCCUUUAAGCCGUUGAAACUGGUGAUCUUGAGUGGGCGAGAAGUAUGCGGAAUUCCUAGUGUAGCGGUGAAAUGCGUAGAUAUUAGGAGGAACACCAGUGGCGAAGGCGGCUUACUGGACUGUAACUGACACUGAGGCACGAAAGCGUGGGGAGCAAACAGGAUUAGAUACCCUUGUAGUC
This 459-nucleotide ribosomal RNA is filed under the name uncultured bacterium. Its description in RNAcentral is "partial 16S ribosomal RNA". It matches the Rfam family "Bacterial small subunit ribosomal RNA", at positions 338 to 795 of the family's 1533-position model. The record is from RNAcentral.